UGUGGUGUGGCUCAGUAGUAGAGUGCUUGCCUAGUAUGUGUGAGGCACUAGGUUUAAUCCUCAGCACCACAU
This 72-nucleotide transfer RNA is filed under the name Ictidomys tridecemlineatus (thirteen-lined ground squirrel). RNAcentral's name for it is "Spermophilus tridecemlineatus (thirteen-lined ground squirrel) tRNA". It matches the Rfam family "tRNA". Rfam says of the family: Transfer RNA (tRNA) molecules are approximately 80 nucleotides in length. Their secondary structure includes four short double-helical elements and three loops (D, anti-codon, and T loops). The record is from Rfam by way of RNAcentral. Lineage: Eukaryota; Metazoa; Chordata; Mammalia; Rodentia; Sciuridae.